UAUAUAUAUAUAUAUGUAUGUAUGUAUGUAUGUGUAUGUAUGUAUGUAUAUAUGUAUGUAUAUAUAUGUAUAUCUAUAAAAUUAGGCUACUAUACUAUGUAGAGUAUCGGAGCUCCGGUACUAUAGCCUUGUUUUCGAUCUUAGGGUAUUCAAAUUAACGAUCCGCACCGUUAAAUAUGAUCUAGGGUAUAUAAAGUUCUUAUGAAUAAAAUUUUAUUUUUUUUCGACAUUGUUUAUUUAGUAAAUAAAUUAUAUCAAAAUAGACGGUGAUAAUUAAAUAAUCUUUAAAAUUUGAGUAUAGGACUUUUAAAUUCAAGAUCAAGAAUGUUAACCUUUUGAAGAAAUUUAGAUUCUUGUACACCGUUAAUUUCUAAACUUGUCAUAGUAGUCAUUGAAAAUUGACAAUUUUGAAAUGGUUUGAUCAUAAAGUAAACUAUGUCGAAAAAAUAUAAAAUUUUAUUUCUAAAAACUUUAAAUAUCCUAGAUCAGUUUUAAUGGUGUGGAUCGUUGAUUUGAACACCCGAAGAUCGAAAACGAGAUUAUAGUACCGGAGCCCCGAUACUAUAAAUAGUAUAGGAGACUAGCUCUAUAUAUAUAUACUUGGUGCUACCAAAUUUUUCCGUCGUUAGAUUUACCUUUUUGAUCAUUUUCACCCGUUAGAUCAUACUAUUCAACCAACCAUCCACUCAACCCUAGAGGGCCCAUAUCAUCUUAACCGCAUAUCUUUUAAUUCAAUGGCGUUAAAUUGUUUACAAGAUCACUCCAAAAAAAAAAAAUU
RNAcentral lists this long non-coding RNA (778 nucleotides) under Ananas comosus (pineapple). RNAcentral describes it as "long non-coding RNA (ACOM_LNC011126)". The record is from RNAcentral. Lineage: Eukaryota; Viridiplantae; Streptophyta; Magnoliopsida; Poales; Bromeliaceae.